GAUGAAGAACGUAGCGAAAUGCGAUAAGUAAUGUGAAUUGCAGAAUUCAGUGAAUCAUCGAAUCUUUGAACGCACAUUGCGCCCGCCAGUAUUCUGGCGGGCAUGCCUGUCUGAGCGUCAUUUCAACCCUCAAGCAACUUCUGCUUGGUGUUGGGGAUCGGCCGUUAAACGCCGCCCCCGAAAUCUAUUGGCGAUCUCGCUGUAGCUUCCUAUGCGUAGUAGUAACAUCUCGCAUCUGGAGAGCGGCGCGGUCACGCCGUAAAACACCCAACUUCUCAGGUUGACCUCAGAUCAGGUAGGAAUACCCGCUGAACUUAAGCAUAUCAAUAAGCGGAGGA
This 338-nucleotide unclassified non-coding RNA is filed under the name soil metagenome. Its description in RNAcentral is "partial contains 5.8S ribosomal RNA, internal transcribed spacer 2, and large subunit ribosomal RNA". The stretch from base 1 to 120 matches the Rfam family "5.8S ribosomal RNA", at positions 35 to 154 of the family's 154-position model. The record is from RNAcentral.